CCGAUCUUGAAAUAUGAUGUUUUAAAGAACUCGUGAACACGAUAAUCGGCUGUCAAAACGAAGUAGAUAACCAAUCAUGCCUAUGCUUUAAAGAAAGGAAAAAAGAUAAGGCAGGAAAAAUUUAAGCAGCAAUCUCAAAACAUUUAUCAAAUGUCAGAAUUAAAAAUUGACCACGAAACCAAAAGAAUCUGGUGAUUUAACGCAAAGAUGGAUACAUUUGUAGUACCUUCAUCACGUGAACAGUUCCAUAUCUGUAACAGAAAAAAAAUUGAUGCAUUAGGAUAUGUUCACGGAAAUGUAAGUAUUCUCCCAAGAAAGCAUAUCAUAGGAAAGGGUAACAGAAAAUGUAAAAAUAUAUCCGUGAAGCCUGCUACCAAAGAGAAUUGGCACCUUAAACUACAGACUAAAGAACUCAGAUUUCUGGAGUAACAACUCAACUCAACUCAACUCAAUCAAACAGAGCGAGGAAUGGAUGUGAAAAGGUUGAACCUCCUAUAACGGAUGCGAAUUUAGACGAGCAGCGGCGGCGGCGGCUGGGAGAUAAUUGUCAAGAUGCAUUCAGAAUAGAAACUGUUAAUCCUGAUCUAAUGAGUGCGGAACCCGAAGGGGCAACUCAUGUGUGGCCUGGGUUAGUGAAUUUAGUCGAGCAGCAGCGGCAGUGGCUGGGAGAUAUUUGUCAAGUUAUAUUCUAUUUCUGUGAAAGCGUAUGCAUUAAAAGCUGCGGGGUGCACCUCCUAGCCUCACAUAUCGUGAAUGAUGAAUGUGAUGAUCUGUUAAAAUGGUUUUCCUUAGAUAUCGUUGAUGAUGAAUAUGAUGAGUAACAACAUCGGCUUUCCUUAUCUUCGGAGCCAGCGGAUUAUCAUUCAAAACACAGGCAGAUUGAUCUCAAUGUUCCUAUUGGUAUUGAGAAGGAGGAGGAGGAGGAGCAAGAGUAACCGUCCAUUUCAGAUGAUCCACAAUUUCUGAUUUAUUAGUAGUUCGGGUACGCAUUCGUUUGUUCAUUUCCAUUUUCCUAAUCUUUAAAAUAAGGCGCCGUCGGAUUACAAUUUCAGUUUACAGUUUCCAUUUAUUUGAAAACUGAAAACUGAGAACUCAUUUGGCAACUACUCCUUGUUCUACCGUCUUGCAUUUGCCCUUCUGUUUUCUUGAUAUGUAGACGUUUUUCUUCUUCAUAACUUCUUGUCCUACUGUCAAACGUAUGCAUUUUUGCACCUAUAGUAAAUCAAUGCAGUAAAUUGUCUAAUUUGAACCAUCUGCAUAUAUAAUCUGGCUAGUUGUUGCUUUUACACUAAUCUGGGUUAUAAAAAGCACUCUCUAUCUAAGAGAACGAAGAUGGCCUCCCCAACUCGAUAUAUUAUGUCCGGAGGAUACCUUUACCUAUUGUGUUACAUAUAAAUUUAUAUCUACACAUUCUACUUUUAAGUUCGCACAAUUUAUAUGUCUUUAUCUUUAGCGGUCCUAAACAGACCACCCUAACUACAACAAAAACUUAGUGGCAGCAAAUUGAUGACAUUAAUGUUACUGUCACUAAAAAUAAAUAAAUGCUUUUAGUCACGACAAGGUUGAGACUAAAAGUAUAAAAUAUUGUAACUGAAAAAUUUAAUCAUGAAAAAGUUAUGUAUCUCAGUAAUAGGGUUGUGACCGCACACCCCGUGAGUAAUUGAUUUAGUCCAAAAAUAAAAAACAAAUAGGUAGACCUAAAAUUUAUUAGUCACGAAAAUUAAACCAAUUCCUACAUUUUAGGUACAAACAUUGCAAUCAUUUGUGUCAGCCAUUAUUAAUGACUAAUAGACAUUUAGUCACAACUACUUUUCGCAACAAAAAAAAUCUUAGUAACAACGGUCUUCCAUAACUUUUUUUUUUUUUUUUUUUUUUUUUUCGAGGUUGAUUUGGACCCUUCUGAUUUAUGAUAAAACUGCUGCACACAUACAGCUGAAAGGGUUCGAAAAGAGGAGAGACAAAAUGCGUAAAAGUCGAAAACAAAAUAAUCUCAAGGACUUGGAGAGAAUUUGAAAACCUCGACGACAGUUCAAUGACUAUGAUAUAGGCUGGCUGUCGGGAACGAAUUCAACGCGCUCGCUGUCCUCUUCCAGUUGUGACUGAGACGCCGUAAGUUUCGCCUUCUUGAAUGUGCUUGAACUUUUAGCCAAUUCAUCCCAAUUCAUGUCCUUCAUGCCGGAAGUGCAUGAUUUUAUGACGCUUCUCCCACCAGCCCUUCCGCCUCUUGGCGUGCUCAUAUCUGCAUUGCUUUCCCCAUCUGAGUAGCCAGAUGACGAAUAAUCUGAUGGAGUUUGGGUGCUGGCUUUUGAAAGUUCUUUAUCUUCAUCUUCAGAACUCCCACUACUCUAUUAUCAACAGCUAGCGACUCUAACGAAAGUCUAAUAAUCACAACAAAUCAAGACUAAUAUCUUCCAUUCUAUCACUUGCACUUUCUUUUCUUGCCUAAUAUCUAAAAAUAUCAUCAACAAAAAAUAGAAAUACCAUCAAGCUAAUCAAAUCAAUUAAAAGUUGUUUCUACAAGAUAAAAUCGUCUACAAAUCAAAUGCUGAAAUCAGUAGAAAUCCACACCUAGGAACUUCCAAUUCAGUCCUCAAUGCCAGCAAUGGAGAAAAGCAUGUACCUCAAGAAUAGUACCAUAACUAACAUAAGUUAAACCAGACAAGUUGAAUCAGAGAAACUAUAUAACUGACCCAGUCAAAGGCUCUUCUUAUUGCAUCAAUGAAUUAUUAUUUUUAGAUUCAACAAUUCAACAUUAUCUCCAAAUCCACACCUUUCCAUCGCCCAACUUAUCGAGCUCCAACACAAGUUAUUUACUUUGUAAAGUAUUUCAUAUUUCUUUCCCUUUUUUCACUCACCUUGAUCCACCUUCAUACUCUAUGAGUUUGACCAUAGUGCUGAAGCGACGCCUAUACGACUCACAACUCUUCUAUUUGAACUAACUUAAGAAAAAUGUUACCAUGAGAAUCAAAAGAGAACAUCUGUGCUAGUAGUUUAGUUGUAAUUUUGAACUGACAUCUAAUAGGAGUCAUUGCCUCCUCAUCAGUAUGUUGAUAAAUGAGAACAAAAAAAUGAGUAAGUUUAUACAUUGAAGGGCUAACAUUCUAGAAAUCAGAAAAACAUGGAAACCACAACAGUCGAGCAUCCAAAAGAAAGGCAGUUUAAAUAUGAUGUGUUCCUUUUUAGUUAAAUCCAGGCCUUUUUCAGAUGAAAUGCAUUCUCUUUGUGGUUGCACAAGGCUGGAGAGUUUCCCUGAAAUAGAGGACAAGAUGGAAUCCCUACUUUUAUUGGACAUACAAAAAACGUGGCAUAAGAGAAUUACCUUCAUCAAUUGCUUAUCUUACUAGGCUUAAAAACUUGGAUGCAGAUGAUUGUGAGAACCUUACAAAUAUAUAUAUAUAUAUAUAUAUAUAUAUAUAUAUAUAUAUAUAUAUAUAUAUAUAUAUAUAUAUAUAUAUAUGUGUGGGCCCCCCAAAACUGAGCACAAUUGAUUUGGAUAUUUUAGAUGACAAGUGUAUCACAUUCUUCUUGAAAGAGUUUAAACUAGGGUUUUAGAGACUGACUGCAUAAGCUCAACUCAAUUAACUAUGAGUGAGUUUUGUACUUUAUUAUAUAGGCUUUACAAGAUUACAAUGAAUCUGUUAUAGAGAUUACAAUGGAAUUCAAAUUACAGAAAUACAUAUCAGAAAGCCAAGAUACACGGUGAUGAUAGAGUCAUGUGGAAGGAGAACUGUGAUUCUUCUCAAUCUGUUGAAGACGUGCGUUAUCCAAACUCUGUUGUGGAGUAGUUGAACGGGAACCAUAUAAUGCGGACUGUGUUUGCUGAGUUGACAAGGAUUGCUGACGUGGAGAGCAUGUAGAAUCGUUAGGUUUAUCACUUUCUUCCCAAUCUACACUAUCUUGAUCUUGACGGUUGCAGUUUAUUAGAAAGCUGUGAUUUCCUUGUGCCUCUAGAUUGUUGGUCCACAUUAACAAGAUGAUCUGUCAAGAAACAAUUUUGUUAGUCUUCCGGAUUGCAUUAGUAAAUUUGUCAACUUGAAGCAACUUAGAUUGAUUAGUUGCAAGAGGCUUCGGGAAAUUCCACAAGUGCUUCCACCAAAACUAAUUCACUUAGAUCUACAUGAUUGCACAUCAUUGGAGAAAAUUCAAAACUGCCCCCGAUGCUCGAGUGUCUGGACUUGACUAAUUACUUUAGACUAAGUGGCAAUGAGGUGAAAAAGAUGGAAAACAAUUUGUUGAAUCAGGUUCCUAACUCUCUUCUUAAUUUCUCUUGAAAUUAAUUUGUUGAUACUUGAGGCAUCAGAUCACAGACUGUUAGUAAUUAGUUAUCUAAACAUUAUUUAAUUUUGUAGGAAUCUCUUUGGCGCUCUGGAAAUUAUUCUUCCAGGCUUCCGAAGUGAUUCAGCUAUACCUCUAAACAUCCGACAACAUUUGAACUUCCAUCAGAAAAUGAAAGUGAAGAAGCUGUUAGAGGCAGUGAAUUUUGUUUUGAAAUUCCUCUAAACUUACAAGAUGAGACCUCCGGAUUGGCUCUAUGUAUUGCUGUUGAAGCACCGACUCCUUAUGAUCCAUAUGUUCUCAUCAACGGGGAAAAAGACUUUUAUCCUAAUUUGAAGUACAACAUUGAGGCAACUCAUGUGUGGUUCAAGCAGUGGCGGAUCCAGGAAAUAAUGUUUGGGGGGUCAACAAGGAUAGCGCGCGCAGCGCGAAAUUUUUUUUUAACAAAAACGGCAUGCAUAUCGUCAUUUCAUCGGGUCUUGGUAGGAUAGCGUGAUCAGCCUCUCGCCGAUAGUUACCAUACUAAAAGGUGCCUUCACUUUCCCUGACAACCAAAAAUAAACAUAAAAUUGGGUUGGAUGGUUCAUAAUAAACAUAAAAUUCUGAUGUCAAUAUGGUGGUUCAUAAUAAUAUUUUUUAGAGAUCAUAUUAAUUUAUGUUAAAUAUAAAGAGAAAUAAAGUUGUUAAAUAUGUGGAUGUGGAAAGGGCACACACAUCAUUACCAUUAAUUUAUGUCAAAUAUGUGGAUGUGGACACAUGGGAACUUUGCAAUCUGCACCAAGACUUAAUGGUGACAUCUUCAACUUGACACACGAACCGAACUGACAGUCUAUGGCUUUUUACACAAAGCAAGCAAUUUGAUGCUAGCUGUACAAAUUUGAUUGGAGAGAAACUAAGAAAAAAUAAAUAAAUAAGAAGAGUGUGUGGUCACGUGGUGUGAAAGGAAGAGAGAGAACGUCUUUGUCUUCGUCUUCCUCUUCCGCCAAAACGAACGAAAACUAGAAGAAACCCAGAAAAAUGCAGCAGCUCCAAGAGGUCGCACCAGCAGCUUUAAGGGGUCGCACCAACAGCUCCAAGGGACCUCUAAGGUUAUUUCCAUGGCUUCCAAGGGGUCGUGCGACCCCAUUGACCCCACUGUGGCUCCGCCUCUGGGUUCAAGUUAGUGGAUUUAGACGAGCAGCAGAGAGAUACAUGUCAAGUUAUAUUUCAAUUCCUGGAAGGCUCAUACAUUAAAAGUUGCAGGGUGCAGUCUAUUGCUCAACCAAGACGAAUUGCUUCCCUUGUCUUUAGGAUCAACGAGUAGUCUUGAGAAGAGGCCUCGUCCAAGUGGACCCCCAUAUUAUGAGUAUGAUCAGCUGCAGCAAUGACCUUCCUUGUCUUCGGAGCUAGCGGAUGAUUAUACAUAGCGGAGUCAUAUUUAUCUCAAUGUUCAUGUUGAGAUUGAGGAUCAGGGCCGGCCCUGAGGGUAGCCCGAGUAGAUGCUCGUCUAGGGUCCCCAAAUUUUAUCUUUUUAUUUUUUAUAUAUAGGGAAAUGUUAUUGACAUUUCAAAAAUUUCAUCCUACAUUCUUUACAAGUGUAUUUUUCUUUUCAAAUAUAGAAAGUUUGAAAUGUAGAAUGAGAAUUUUGGAGUGUCAAUCAUAAUUUUCUAUAUAUAUUUAUAUAUUUAAUUUUGGAAUUUGAGUAAAACAUCUAAAUAUGAAAUUAUAAAUAUUUUUUUGGAACUUGCCGUGCAGCGUUUUGGGUGGGGGGCCCCAAAUUUAAAAAAAAUGUAUGUAUAUAUAUAAAUAUAUUUUUAGAGUUUGAAUUUAAUAAAAUAUUUAAAUAUAAAAUCACAUAAUUGUCUUCAAACUUGAGGUACAAAGUGUCUUGGGUGGGGUGAAACUUCAGCAACAAUUCAACUUUUUUUUUUUGUUGAGAAUUUAAGGCACAGCAUACUGGUAGCAAGUCUGCGCCUGUGAAUCGGUUCUUUCCCACUCCACUUAUAGAGGUUAAGUACCCGAUCAAUGCUUCUCUUCUCUUCCGCUUCUUUUUCUAUAAUUUAAUUUGUGACUUGUGAGUGUUGUGCUUGUACAUAUAAUUAGGAUUUUCAAUUCUAGGGUUUAUGAUUUAUUUAUUUUAAUGCAUAUUGUUUAUGCUAAAUUAGAGUAUUCACUUGUCAAGUGUCUAUAUUGUAGUUAUAAAGUGGAUGUACUUAAUAAAGUGAUUAAAUCCCUUCAAGAAGAUAAAUGGAUUAUGGGUGCACUUAACAAGGUUUGUUACUUUUGCUUCCUAACUAGUUUUGGUUCAAGAUAAUUCAAAGUUUCGAUGUUGAAUUUUGUUAACCAUACCAGUUACAGUUGCCUUUGCAAAAAGAAGUUUCUCAUAAUUAAAGUUGAUCAAAUCGUAUCUUCGAUCAACUAUGUCAUAAGAAAGAUUGAAUGGGUUAGCUAUUUUGUCAAUUGAAAAAGAAUUGGAUGAAAAGUUAGAUUAUGUAAACUUAAUUAAUACAUUUGGGUCUAAAAAAGCGAGACGUGUAAUGUUGAAGUAAUGUUUGCAUAUUUUUCUUCUUUAGAUAUGAAUUAUAAUGAUUUUUGAUGUCGAAAUGAAUAUUUUCAUGUAUUUAGCGAAAUUUUUUCUUAUACAUAUAAAUGUACAAUGAGUUGGGUGUCAAAGAACUUUAGGACCCUCACUCGAAGGCUGGCCUAGGGCCCCCAAUUUCUCAGGGCCGGUUCUGUUGAGGAUGAGCAGGAGGGUGGUUCGGUAUGGGAUCCCAUACCGAAACCCUUGUCCCGAUUCCCAAACCGAAAUUUUCGGGAAUCCCAAUUUCAAUACCGAUCCCAAACCAAAUUUUCGGGAAUCCCAAAAUAGUUUCGGGAUUUCGGGACAAAUCGGGAAUCCCGAAAUAGUUUUGAGCUUUUGGGCUUUUGGACAAAAAAAAUGUACCCCAUAUUUUAAUUUUCUCCAGUUACCUUCCUCGGCACCCAAAAACCCAGUUUUAAACCGGAAGUAAGAAACAUAUGGGAGAUCAGUGUAAAUUGCACGAAGCUGCACUCCCCAAGACCCACCAUUGAUAAAUAGCUAGAGGAAAAAUCUUAACUACAACCCAAUUAGACACGAAGCUGCAAUUUGGAUUGUAAAUUGCACGAAUACCUUCAGCCCACCCAUAGUUAUCAUUGAACAAAGCAUUUACGCUAGAGCGAUUAGCUAAAUUGCAAAACUGAACUAAGGGAAAUAACAUCAAUUAUCUAUUCUCCAAUUAAUAGAUCAUUGGAUGAUCCACAAUUAAAACAAUGUAGAUUCAGAGGAAGAAAACAAAAAAGAUUAAAUAUUAUCUAAGAGGAACAAACACACAUUAUCUAAGAGGAACAAUAUAUUAUUAAUGAUUUACUAUUAUCUUAACGACACUUAUUGUGUGUACUUAUACCUUAUAUGCUAUUUUACUUUUCCCCGAACAGAGCAGUUGUUCCUAACAGUAAUAACUAUAAAGACGAAUGGUAACAAUAACAACAAUAGUAUUUUCAAGAAAACAGAAGAUGUGCAUCCAACAAUCCCGAAUGGUAAAAGCAAACCAUGACUCUUAAGUGUGCCUCUGUAACAAUAGAAAAUGAGAUUUCGGAGGAAACAUGGUAGCCUAAAUAGUACCUCCUUACGCCUAGCCUCAAUCAGAGCUGCUUCAUUUUCUUUCUCAGGUUACGAAAACAGAGCUGCUAAACAAUACAUACCAAAAAUUAAAUCUUAAAACCAUUUGAAAACUUCAAAGCAGAAUCUACCAACAGAAAUUAGAUUUCAAAACACUAAAUUAAUUACCUAAUUUGGGGUGAGAGUGAGACUCGGACUCGGUGUUGUGGUGAGAGAGAUCGCGAGAGAAAGUCGCCCGAGAGAGAGAUUGUGAGAGAGAGCGGUGGCUGUGUGGUGUGGUGGUGGGCCGGUGGUUGGCCGGAAUUCGACAUUGACAAAUGAGGGCUCGGUGAGGGAGGAGGCGCAUGGGCUUGGAGUUUGAUGGAUGGAAUCAGGGAAAUGGAACGGAACUGUGAAAGAAAGAAAUGGGAUCUGACCUAAAACAAAUCAACGGCACGGAUUAAAUCUAAAACAAUGAAUGGUUCAAAUAAUUUUCUUAUAAUUAAAAAAUAAUAUAUAUAUAUAUUUUUUUUUUCGGUUCGGUAUGGGAAUACCAAAAAAAUGAAAUGCAAAACCGAAUCCCAUACCGAAAUUUUCGGUUUGGUUUGGAAUUUUUGGGAUUUUUUUCCAGCCCUAAGCAGGAGCAACCGUCCACUUCAAAAUCUCAGAGUGUUGGUGCAAUCCCAUUGUGUGAAUAGUGGAUUAAUUUUAUAAAUGUGGGGGAUAAGGCUGGAGCUCCAUCAUGUUUAUCUGUUUUUGAACUUAGAGUGACUGUGAUUUUGUGGUUUCUCUUUCAAUCUCAUGGGGAGACAUGUGCUUGCAUAGUUAUUACUUAAAAUGAACUUUAACGAAAAGUUUCCAGUACUGUUUAUUUUAACGAAAAAUCAUAUUUUAACAUUAAAAAGUUCAUCCUGGUACUAUUCAUUUUACUCUUUAUUUUGCUUUUAUCAUUAAAACUCAAAAUUUUCAAACCAUUUUCAUUAAUUUUCUUUUAUUUAAAAGGUUAAAAUAUAUAAUAAUACCUGAUAAAAUUAGAAAAUUGUUGAUGUGACACUUGAAGUAUAUGUAAGUUUCCCACAUAACAAACUUAUACCCAUGACUUCUUUUCUUGUUCUGUUUUUCCAUUUCUUAUUUUGUAGAAUGCCCAAGCUGGUUCCCAAAAACCUAUUUCAGUAUUUUAAUUGUAUUGUAGAAAACUGACGUAGGUUCGAACCCUAUUUGGGGAGUUUGGUUUCAUUCCAAGUUCUGAUUUAAGAGAACUCGGGACGGAGGGGAUCACUUUGAUUGUUAAGAGUAGAAAACCCAUUCUUUUAUGAUACUUAAAUUACCAAUUACUGCUCUAAAUUGUCUUAACAAAAACAAAAUUGAUUGAAGAAGAUAUAAUUAGGUACAAGAUUGAAAUUACACAUCAACUGCUUGAAUUAUCAAGCCCCAAAUCCUGCUGUAUAUUUGACACCAGUAGGGGGUAACCACAGGUUGCCUUCAAUAAAUUGGGCCACAGAAUAGUUCUUUACCUGAGUAGACUCAUUAAAGACUCGGUAGCCAGGCCACUUGACCCGGCUUCCGAGGCCCGCUCCAGGCCCAUAAUUCAUGUACUCACCAUAAGACAACGUGCUCAAAGCAAAAUCCGCGUUCCAUUCAAGCCACCCCUCAGGCCUUAUGGCAUUGCUCAAGAAAGAAUGCAUUAUUACAGUUCUUGAAUAAAGCUUCCAAGGCCUACCAAGGUAAGUAAAAGUGGAGUUGACCAAGGGUAACAAGUCUGCAUCUGCAGUUAUGUUGCAGAACUGGAUUGAGAAUCCGGUCGGCUCAUUCGGGUCUUUCCGGCCUUGGGAUGUGACGCUGUUCUUCUGAUUCGGUAGGCCUUUUUUGGCUAAGAUCCGGCAGUUUUGGAACACAACAGUUGCAUCACCAAAAAUGAAGUCAACUGUACCACUUAUUUUGCAAUAUUUAUAUAUUUCUUCUUUCAUAAUAUUUUGCAUGUUAUUAAUGAAUAUGUUAGCAAUAUUAUCGAUCCCAUUAAUAUUAUCACCCCACUUGCACGUUGGCUUAAUAAAUAUUAUCUCAUAAGUUUCUUUCUGAUGUAGUUUACUAAUUAAGUUUAACGACCAAUGUGAUCAAUGCCUUUGUAUCAUCGUUUUCAGUUCAGUUCCAUACAUAUAAUUGUCAGUCAUAAACUUGACUUGUGUUAAAUCCUACGUCUUAAAUUCUUUUUUUUUUUUUAGCUAACAGGAAAAUAAGAGGCCUAGAAUAAGAUCUUGGUCGUUGUUUAUCUCAUUUCUUAUGAAAAGUAGAGUUGACAUAUAAGGAUUCUGCUUUUCUAUUAUGUGUCAUUGAGUGAUACAAGUUGUGGACGACCUGAAUUAAACCAACCUCUUAAAUUAAACCAAACCCGAUAUAUAGGUUAACUACUUAAAUUUUAACUAUUAAGAAUUGUAUGUAUUAGUAUAUAUGUGAAAUCUCAUCAUCGGAAUUUCACCAUUUAUUACGUAUUUAGUAAUUUAAAUUCGUAUUUUGCGAUUACAUUAUCUUUAUUAGUUAAUUUUAAUUCCACUAAUUAUAAGUUUAGUAAUUGAUUAGUUAUCGAGUUGGAAGUUUCAUAAUCAAUCUUUAUUUUUCGUGGACAUUUCGAAGUUACAACUAGUGUUUUUAAAUAGAUCUUGAACCCACAAACGUAUAAGCGAAAACCGUUUGCGAGUCUGAAUUAUAACGGUAUAGUUACGAACGUUUGAAGUGAUGAAAAUAUAGAUUGUGGGAAUUAUUCUAAUUUCCACUUAUGAGUAAAAGGCCCAAACUUUUUUUUUUGGAUUAAUGAACCGGCUACUAUAAGUGGAAUUGGGCAUUUUAGGUGGUGGAAAAAGAUUAGUCAGCAGCCUUAAAAGGGGACACAUCAGAUUUUUUUAAAGGAGGAGAAAGGACCCUAGGAAGGAAGGACCUAAGAGGAAAAAGAGGAUUUUCCCCCUCCAUUUCCGUCGACCCAUUUUCACGCACCCACCGGAGUGGUUUCCGACCAUUUCCACCAUUUUUUUCAAGAGAAAUUCAACCAUCCAUCACUUGCAACCUCUUCCACCAUCUCCCAUCUUUCAUCUCCACCCAAAUUUGAGGGUUUUUAGGUCCAAAAUAGUGUAAAACAGUGCGGGUGACCCAAGGAGUUUUGACGGCGAUUCCGCCAUUCUAGCUAGUCUCACCACCAAACACCACCCUUAAUCAACUCUCCUUGGACCCAGAACAAGACCCAAUCAGUUGUAGGAGUGUUAGAACACCAAGGAAGCCGAAUUGAAGAACACCCACCUUAGGGUUUCGUUGGGUGUGAGCCAAUUGGAAGGCCUUCCUGGCCAAAUUGGACUCGACCACAGGUAUAAAGUUUACUCUACUUGUUAAAAUCUUCAUUCUUGUAAAAUUUGAGAAUUUUUGGAAAAAGUCGAAUUUUCCGAUAUGUGACAUUCGAUUUAUGAAAAUGUUGUUGAUUGUAUAUUUUAUCGAUAAGGUGUGCCACUUGAUUAUUCUAAUAAUUGACAAUCUUAUCAUCGAAUUGAGACAAGAUUUUAAUAUGCUAUUGUAGAUAUUGUUUAAGGACCUUAGGGACUUAUAAGUGAGAAUCUAGUGAUUGGAUUUUAUGAAGCAAAUGACGUAAGAUCAUGCACUCUAUAUUAGAAUGACGGUUCGAUUCCUCAUUAAAUGUUGUUGUGGGAAACAUAUGAGAAUUUUUAAGUAUGUGAAUUAUCGAAGGAAAUCUAAAUGUGGACUUGUGCUUUGUUAGGCGGUGAUAGAACGUGAUGCCUUAACUAUCGUGCUAGGGUACAUUAGCACGGACUCCAGAUGAGUGACUUUAAUAUAUGUGAUAUUGGUAAUUACCAGUUGUCAUAAUUACGAUCAUGUGUCGAUAUGAAUUGGUUUUAUGAAUAUGUUCUAUUGAAUUGUUAUUCCAAUACUUCGACAUCAAUGUUGAGAUUAAUGUGAGGACUAGUAAUGACUGUUAACCAUUAUGUUGGGGAUUUGUUGCUUUGAGAUUGUUUCAUCUUUCGCUUUGAUGAUUGGUUAUAAAUUUAGUAAUUGUGCCUAAUCUCCCUUUGUUGAGUUUUUGUAAAUUAAGUAGUAUGUGCUUGUCUCAUUUCUUUUACCGCCGUACAUUCUGAUUGUUGGUCUUCUGCGAUUCCGUUGAGUGAUGGUCCGGAAUCAUAUCCACUCGGAUUUCGUAGAGAGAUGGUCCGGAAUCCCUUCUAUUCCGCGAUUCCGUUAAGUGAUGUUCCGGAAUCGUAUCUAAAUUGGGUUUCAUUUAGUUGUUGUUACAUAUUGUAUUUAGCGAUUCCGUUGAGUGAGGGUCCGGAAUCGUAUCCACUUGGAUUCCGUUGAGAGAUGGUCCGGAAUCCCUCCUAUUUCACGAUUUCGUUGAAUGGUGGUCCGGGAUCGUACUCACCUUGGGAUUUAUUGAAUUUGAAUUGUGAUGACUUCAAAGGUGUAGGCUUCGGCCAAACUGUAUCGCUCUAAUUCUACUUUUCAUUGUGUUGCAUGAGAAGAUGGUUGUGAGAUGUUAUGAUUGGUUUCAGACGAACCGUUGGAUGUCUGGGUGACUCCUUCGGGGUUUACAAAAGUUGGUAUUGAUUUCUUAUGAAUGAUUUAUAUUCAAGAUGUGUAAAUUGUGUUUGAUGGUUGGCAUUAGCAUUAUUAUCACAUACUUGAUAUUAUUGUCACUCUCUUAAGCUUCGCAACUUAUCCAGGUUGUUGUUUGCCUGGUGUACCAUUCCAAUGGUGUAGGCACCGAUCGUACAGGUGAUAGGUUUGAUUAGAUUCCAAGAAGUUUGUAGGUGGGGGUAGCAGUGCAGUGAUCAGAGACUUGGAGCGUUAGGUUACCCUUGUUUCACUUUUGUACUUUAUCUUUUGGGACUUUCUUUUGAGCACCUCAUACUUGUUCUUAGUAAAGCAAAGAUUAUGCUUCUUUUUGGGAUGUACAUAUUUGUAAAUAUUUAGUGGAGAACUUAGCCACCUUCACAUUAUUUUGGGUUAUCAGUUAAAGUAUUUCAUUCCGUAACUUAUGCUGUAUUCAACGAACAUUAUUUUCCUUGUCACGUGUCGAUUUUCGACGUAUGUUGAGAUCGGGAUGUGACAAUAUAUGCACAUACUAGUUUUAUCAUGUCUCUAUAAUUGAAUUUGGGACCAAAAAGAUGGUGAAGGGCUAUUCAUACGGUCUGGCAAAGAGAUUUCAUGCACAAUGUAGGCAACCAUGUUCCUUACAACUUUCAUGUGCAAUAAACUGUUGGAUUCAUCUUUUCAACAUAAUCUAUAGCUCCUUCUUUUUCUUAAAAUAGGCUAAUAAAUUUAUGGAAGAGGAACAAUGGUGGUAGGGUGGGGACCACAGCACAGCUGAGUUGCUAAAUUAAUCGACAUUGGGAUCAUUUGAAUGUUUUUAGAGUAAAUCUUUGCUUUCUCUUUUGUUUGACCGUCCUUGGGGUGGAAUUGUAAUGCCUUUCAAGUAGGGGUGGGCAAACGGGUACAGGAACCGCGGGUCGGGGCGAGUAAUGGCAGUUUGGGACGGGUACGGACCGGUUCUUAAUUUCGUAAAAACAGAUCGGGCCGGGUAAUUGAAGUAUUCGAUUCGGGCCGGUUCCAAAAGUGUAGGAACCGUGGGUACCCGGACCGACCCGUGUGUGUUACAAUGGAUGGACGAGAUUUAAGAUACAUCUCUCCAUCCAAUCUCAACUGUCAAUUUCAACCUAGCUAAUUCCACGUCUCGAGUUCAAGAAGCACCCUCCUUUCAGACUUCAGUCUCUCAGAUUCUCAGACUCUCCCUCGACUCCCUCUCCCUAUCCCUUCCUUCCCUCGACUUCAAUUCUCAUACUCUCUCAGUCUCACUCACAAACUUACUCCCACAGUGCUCACCGCCGUCGGGACCAACACAACAGCACCAUCAACUCCGCCGUCGCGACCACUAUUACUCACCCUAUCACCACCGUCGAGCUCCAACUCUCAGACUCUCACAGCGCUGUCGCAACCAACACAACGGCACCACCUCUGCCGUCGCGACCACCAUCAUCACCCCAUCACCACCGCCGUCACGACCACCUGCUACUACUAAAUUUUAGGUAAUUUUGAAUUAGGUUUUAUUAUUAAUGUGAAUUUCUGGUGUAGGGAUUUUAGGGAUUUUAGGGAUUUGCCGAAGCAAGAAGAGGUUGCUGUGGAACAGGAAUCGUAGAGAGAGACAACAUCACUGCUGUGCAAUCCAAACUCAGUCGGAACUUGUUCCAACGCGACUCAAUACGUGUUUUGGGAUAACGUCCAUCAAUCUCAAGCCACUAACUAACCAUUGGAUAAGAGGAUUAUACGGAUCUUUCUGUAUCUCAAAAAAUGUUUAAAGACUGCUACUACUUGCUUUUAAAUACUGCUAUGUUCCGAUUGAUUUAGCUAAACAAUUUUAACGGAAGAGAUUUUAUACAAAACCAAUUAGAUUUAGCUAAACAUUUAGCAAAUCUUUUGCAGUGUUUUGCAAAUUUACCAAAAGACAGCACCAAAAUGCUUUGGUUAGGCGAAGCUACUUAUGGGUAUUUAGUUUGGUUUUGGCAGUGUUCAUCAUACGGUUUUUUAUUUACCCUUCUUUUGUUCUUUUAUGUAUGAAGAUGAUCUGUUUAUAAUUAUAACACAAGGAUCGUACUUAAGAAGUUAAAUUAUGUUUUCCUUUUUGUCUUAACUGAUUUUGUUUUCCCUUUUUUUCCUUGUAGGUACUCCAUGGACUGAAGAGGAACAUACCAACUACAUAGCUUGGUAAAGGUGAGUGGCUGACGAUAUAGGUGCCAGCAUUGGUCUUCUUUAAAUUAAAAAUAAGUGAUUUAGUUUUGACAUACAUUCACCAUGGGGAAAAACACAAGAAAUGUUAUCUCUUUUUUCCUUUUUUCUUCCAUGAAAUAGAUUGGUAUCUGGCUGUCGUGUCUGUAGACUCUGUAUUGCUGUUUUCAGAUUGCAUUUCUAAGUCUUUAGCUAUUUGCAUUUUCUAAGGCUCUUGGUGGUUUUAACAAAGUUGCCAAGUUAUAUUUGUUAUUCAUGGUUUUGGUUAAUUCCAUAUGUCACUGAUCCUCUCGUAUAUUGUCUUUAAAAUUUGUAUAUGUCAUAGUGUGGGAAGUUGAGAGUUCCAGUCACCUUGUUAGAUCCCUGUUAGUACAAAAAAUAAACCUUUGAAGUAAACAACUAUCUAUUCAACUUCACUAAUCUAAAUAGUUCUCUCAUUGUAACACUUUAUUGGAUGUGCUCCUAGAUUCCGUCAUCAGCAUUCAUCUGUUUUUGGAUUUACAGGAUGCACUAGCUUACCCAAGUCAUUGCACUUCAUGUUAUGUUAAUGAUGUGUUAUUCACAAAUUUGAAUCCUUAUGAAAACCUGUCAGAUAAUUUGACAUUUUUUCACUGUUUCUAAUAAAAUCUGUUUAUGUUAUGCAGGACACUCUGUGUGCAGUUUUUUCAAACUGCAAUUUAUGCAAUAUGUGCAAUCUGUGCAGCAAACAUUUUUAAACAGCAAAAAAAAAAAAGAUCCGUGUACUCGGACCGAACCAACCCGUUUCAACCGGGCCGGGUAAGGUCCGGUUCCUAUUUUCAGAAUUGUAAUGCCCGGCCCGGCCCAUCCUAUCUCCUUUAAUUUAGGGUCCGGUCCAAUCCCUUCAAAAAUUGGCCCGCCCGGCCCGUGCCCAGCCCUACUCUCAAGUUAAGAAGUCAUCAAGCUGAAAUUUCUGUGCAUUCUACUAUUCCUUUCCUCUCUCAUCUCUUUUUUUUUUAGGUAACAAGAAAAUAUAAGGUCUUGGUUGUUGUUUAUCUUAUUUCUUAUGAGAAAUAGAGGGGAUCUAUAAAGAAUUCUAUUUUCCUACUACGUAUUAUUGAAUAAUACGAGUUGUGGAAGGCCUAAAUUAAACCAAUCUCUUGCAUAAUAUUAACGGGUUAUAAUAAAAAAUGAAAAAGAGUCUGUGUCAUUAGGAAAACUUGAUAUAAGUCCAAUUUUUUUAGCCAAUAGUAGAAAUAGUCCAAUUUAUUAAAAUAAGUCCAAUUCCUUAAAUUUAACUAUUUUAUUAUCAAUAAUUAUCUUUUGAGAAAAUUAGAAUUAGAAGCCUCAUUUUAGACUUUUGUAGACUAAACAUUUAUGCUUUUUGAGUUUUUGAUUAAGCUUUUGAAACAUUUGAUUAAGAUACUUAGACUUGAACUACUUCAUAUUAAUUGAAAUUAAUUUACAUUUAAAUAUCUGCUAUAUAUUUUAAAUAAUUUCAACUAUAUUUAAGUCUAAAAAUUUAAACUUUUCAAAUCUAAAUGUACAUCCACGCCAAAUGGAAACAUACCAAUAUUAAAUGAAAAUGUACCAACAUCAAACAAAAACAUAACAACCCUGAAUUAAAAUGUACCCAAUUAUAAACUAUCUUAAAAUGAAUAUUCAUCUUUUUGGAAUGUUUAAAAAUAUGUAUGAUUUAUACACAAUGCUCUAGAUAGUCUUGUUUUUUUGUAGAUAAGUUCCUGGAACAACUUUAAGUUGAUUAGAGAUAAAUCCUUAUUAUUGUAGAUAAUGCUAAAUAAUAAUGAUAAAUCAUAUAAUUUUGAAUUAACAAAAAGGUUAUUAUAUGUUGAUUAAUGACUCUUUCUAGAAAAAUAAAAUUAAUUAAAGUAAUUUAAACUUUUACAUUGUUAACGACUAUUUCUAUAAAAAAAAUUAAUUAAAGUAAUUCCUCAUUAUUAGGACAAAAAGUAAUAAAAUUUAUGUUUUGAGAACAAACAUACCAAAAAUUCAAAUGUACCAAAAACUAAAUGUACCAAAAAUUUAAAUGUACCAAGAAGCCAAAUGGAUCAAAAAUUCAAAUGUACCAAGUAACUAAAUGUACCAUUAUAAUCAAACGUACCGAUAUAAUCAAACGUACCUAACAACGAGUUUUGUUACAUUCUAUUUAAUUUACUAAAAUAAAUAUUUUAAUAAAAAAUAAUAAAAAAAUCUUAAAUCAUCAUAAUAAGAGAUGCAUAAAAAUAGGAGGAAAAAAGGGAAUGCUAACGUGAAUAGACUUCUAAUGAAAUAAAAUUAAAGUAUCAAAAUUGUAAGGAAAAUGUUUAAUCAAAUUUGCAAAAGGAAUAGAUGUUUAGUCUAUGACAUUUAAAAACGAGGUGUCUAAUUCAAAACGUCCCUUAUCUUUUCAAUGAUAAGAUUUAUUAUAAAAAUCAAAUUUAUUCCUAAUUAUCUCUUUGAUUAUUUAUUUUAUUUAUUUAUUGCUCUUUCUUGUUCUUCCUCCUGCUUUAAACUCCAUUUAUAGAUUUUAUUUUUAAUUUUUAUAAUCAACCUAUAUCAUAGGUUAAUUAUAUUUAUCUACCUAUAUGACAUAUUCUUUUUUAUAAUCAACUAAGAUUAAUGUGUCUUGCUUGUAGGUAUAUUAUGUUUUUUCUACCUUUUAGUUAGGUUUCAUAUCUUGCUUUAUAUGUAUGAUAUACAUUCAUAUAUUUGUUACUAGAGUUAGGGUAUAAUGUUUUGCAGAUGAUUUAUGUCAGUGUAUUAGUUUUUUUGUUAUAAGAUAUUAAUUAUAUUUUUUGGAGUUGGAAAAUGCAUAAUAUUAGAAUAUUUUAAUUGAUUUUUAAUAUUUUUAGAAAAUAUAAAAUGAGCAUAAAAAAUUAAAUAUAUGUAAUUAAGUAACUAAACUCACUCCUAAAAAUCAUCUAUAUUUUUUAAUCUGGAUCUAAAAGCAAAACAAUACGCACUAUGGAAGCCAAACCCGAUAUAUAGGUUAACUAUAGGGCUAGUCAUACGGCCCGGCAAAGAGAUUACAUCGGAGAUAACGAAGGAUCGUACAACAUUUGGCCUUUGGAAGUGUCGGAAUUAUUAAUUCAUUCUUGGUGAAGAAAGGCCACAGGUGAUUACAAUAUCAAUGAAUAAUAGAAUACCGACAAACCAUAGUGAGUAGAUUGCUGAUCAAACAUAAAAAAUAUAAAAUAAAAUAAAAAAGUUCUUUUUUUUGUUUUUGUCAAAAAAAAAAGAUAAAAAAAAGGUUCAACGUAUAUAACAAAACAAAUGGUAUAAGACACAUAGUUCAUUAAAUUUAAAGACCGCCACUAGUUAGUGGAGAGAAACUUAUCUACACUGAAGAUACUUCUCAUGGUAUAUCUAUUUUAUUAGUAACGAUUUUAUAUAUUUCAGUCGGCCGUGAUUAUUUUAAAAUACCAUUAGGGUGGAUUGUUACAUCGAAGGUGGUAAGUAAUAGUUUCAACGAAACUUCCUCUCCAAUAAAAUAAUCGCAUUGAUAUUGUCACAUUAAUAGGUAGGAAAAUGCUUUCGUAUGUAGGAUGAAAAGCGUGAAGCCUGAUAUAAACAAGAGAGAGUCCUUGACGAACCCAGUCUCUUCAGUUUAUUUCUGGUUUGAAUUCUCCUAUGACCAAUCAACUUGUCUCUUCUUCUUCCUUGCCUCCUUCAUGGACAUAUGAUGUGUUUUUGAGUUUUAGAGGUGAGGAUACACGCUUUACUUUUACAGAUCAUUUAUACCAGGCCCUAGACCGUAGUGGAAUCAACACCUUCAUAGAUCGCCAUCUUACAAGAGGAGAAGAAAUAUCACCAACUCUUCUCGAAGCAAUUGAAAAGUCGAGAAUUUCGAUCAUUGUAUUCUCUGAAAACUACGCAUCCUCAAGAUGGUGCUUGGAUGAGCUUGUACAUAUCCUUGAAUGUAGAAAAUCAAGGCAGCAAAUAGUUUGGCCAGUUUUUUACAAGGUGAAUCCGUCUCAUGUACGAAAUCAAACGAGUAGUUUCGGUGACAGAUUUACAGGACUUGAGCGCAAAUACAAGGACAAGGAGAAGAUCCUCUUAUGGAGUAGAGCUCUUCGAGAAGCAGCAAAUUUGUCUGGACGUACUGUCAAAGAGGGAGAGUACGUACAUUUCUUCUUUCCUUAUAGUUUGUUUAAUUAUAUGAUUCUGUAUUUCAGGUUUCACUUUCUACUACAAUAAUACCUAUUUAGUUGCAAGUUUCAUUUUUAGUUUUUAAAAUCCCUACCAAGCGGCACAUGCUUGACUGCAGCUAUUGUGUAAGAGGAGUGCUAGGAACCAAACCAUCGCUACCACUCAUUCUAUCAAUUUCCGCCUUUGUUGAAUGGUAAGUCUAUAAUUGUAUAUGAAGAAGAUAACUAUUACUUUAUGCUAAACCUACAUGACCAUCUUCUUCAUAUAUAAAUAUAGACUUGUCAUUCACCAAAGCUAGCAAACGAGGGAGUGAGUGUAAUCCUCUCUAUCUUUUUUUUUUCAAAGAAAUAUAGCAAAAAAGUGGAUUGACUAAAUAUGUCAAUAUUUUAUUUACAUGGGUAGGUACGAAGCUACAUUUAUCAAUAAGAUUGUUAAGGAGAUCUUAGUCGACGUACUACAACACACAUAUUUGAAUGUGGCCAAAUACCCAGUUGGAAUACGGUCUUGUGCAAAGGAGGUGGAGAAGAUUUUAGGUGUUGGUGCAAAUGGUCGUUGUGUGGUUGGGAUUUGGGGGACAUCUGGAAUUGGCAAGACAACAAUUGCAAAAGCUGUUUAUAAUGCAAUUGCUCUUAAGUUUCAAGGUAGUUGUUUCCUGGCAGAUGUUAGAGAAACAUCAAUACAACAUGGAGGAUUACUCCAACUACAAAAGACUCUUCUAUCUAAAAUUCUAUGCGAUACAGAGUUGAAAGUUGUUGACGUUCAUGAAGGAAUCAGCCUUAUGAAGAAACUGUUGAGGAAAAAGAAGAUUCUCUUAAUUCUUGAUGAUGUGGAUGAAUUGAAGCAGUUAAACAACUGGGUUGAAGUCGAUUGGUUUGGUGAGGGUAGCAGAGUGAUCAUAACCACAAAAGAUAGAGGAUUGCUGGAAUCUUAUGGAGUCAAGUUGAUAUACAAGGUCCAAAAGUUAGAAGACGACAAGGGUCUUGAGCUUCUAAGUUUGAAUGCCUUCGGAAGAAAAGAACCUCCAGUUGAUUAUUUGAGCCUCGCACGACAUGCAAUAGCCUAUGCUCAAGGCCUUCCAUUAGCUCUUAAUCUUAUAGGUUCUCAUUUGCGUAAUAAAAGUAUAGAUCGUUGGCAAGCUAUAUUGGAUAGUUACGAUUCUUACGAAGGAGAACCUUAUAGAGGUAUUCAAAGAAUACUUCGAAAAAGUUAUGAUGCCUGGGAUUAUGUAGUGCAACAAGUUUUCCUAGACAUUGCAUGUUUCUUCAAGGGUGAAGAUAAAGACUAUGUGUUAGAAAUAUUAAGAAGUUCGAAGCUCAACGUACCUCAAGAUUGUAUGGAAGUACUUGUUGAAAAUGCCAUUAUAACUAUUGAUAAAGAUAAUAGGAUUUUGAUGCAUGACUUGCUAGAAAAAAUGGGUAAGCAUAUAGUUUAUGAAGAAUCUCCCACUGAACCAGGAAAACGUAGUAGGUUGUGGUUUCAUGAAGAUGUGUACAAUGUUCUAACUGAAAAUCGAGUAAGUAGAAUAUAUGUUCUUACAUUUGUUUUGUCAUGAUCUGGUUUGAAGUGAAAGCUUUUUAAAUUACAUGUUUUGUUAACAAUAUGUCAUUUUUUUCAUCUUAGGGAACAAAGAAAAUUAGAGGCAUUGUGGUGAAGCUGCCUGAACCAGAUGUGAUACCCUUGAAUGCAGAAAGCUUCUUGCAGAUGGUAAAUCUUGAAAUUUUUAUAAAUCGUAAUGCACGCUUUUCUGGACACGUUGAUUAUUUGUCCAACGAUUUGAGGUGGAUUGAAUUGGACGGACGUGAUUUUCAAUAUUUGGGAUUCAAUAUUCCUCAAAAGCAUACGGUUGUGUUCAAUCUGCCGUCCAAUUAUAAUCCAAAACAUCUUGUCACGUUUGAUAUUCCAAACAGUGGCAUCAGACAAUUGAAAGGGUUUAAGGUAUGUAUAUUUAUUUUAAAGUAAUUUGGACAAUUGCUAAUUUAAAUAAUAUUUUAUUUUCGGAAAAGAGAGAAUUUUCAAAAUUUUCAUUAUAAAUGUAUUCAAAACAUGUGACUUUUUGUUUUUUUGUUUUUUUUUUUUACAGAAUUUGGCAAAGCUUACAUCAAUCAAUUUAAGUUAUUGCGAAUUCCUAGAAAAAAUCCCCGACUUCUUCGGAUGCCCAAACAUAAAGGACUUGAAUCUAAGUUUUUGUAGAAGUUUGGUUGAGGUUGAUGAUUCUGUUGGAUUCCUCGAUAAACUUGAAAAUUUGAAUCUUCGUGGGUGCUAUAAGCUUACGAGGUUUGCAACAAGACUUGAAUUGAGAUCCCUUCAAAAGUUUUCUCUUUGUGGCUGCACAAGGCUUGAGAAUUUCCCAGAAAUAGAGAAGGACAAGAUGGUAUCCCUAUCGUCUUUGGACAUAGGAGGAAGUGGCAUAAGAGAAUUGCCUUCCCCAAUUGCAUAUCUUACUGGGCUUCGAAGAUUGACAGCGCGUGGUUGUGAGAACCUUACAAAUAUAUCAGUACAUCAUAUUGUUGGGUUGCAGCAUCUCCAAGAUGUUGAUUUCGGUGAACGCCCAAAACUCGUGAUCGAAUCUCAGCUGCUUUCAACUAACUUAAAUGACAACGGUAUCAUAUUAGCCCUUCCAGAGCUAGAGUAUCUUUGUCUUGAUGGAUGCAAUUUAUCAGAAAGUGAUUUUCUUGUGCCUCUUGAUUGCUGGUCUACAUUAAGCAAUCUUGAUCUGUCAAGAAACAAUUUUGUUAGUCUUCCAGAUUGCAUUAGCAAAUUUCUCAACUUGCAUACACUUAGAUUGAGCGGGUGCAAGAGGCUUCGGGAAAUUCCACAAGUCCUUCCGCCAGAUCUAAUUUACUUAUAUCUGGAUGAUUGCACAUCAUUGGAGAAAAUUUCAAAACUACCCUGGAUGCUUGAGUGUCUUGACUUGACUAAUUGCUUUAGUCUAAGUGACGAUGAGAUGGAAAAGUUGGAAAACAAUUUGUUGAAUCAGGUUCCUCCCUCCUCUUAAUUUCUCUUGAAAUUUAGAAUUAUAUUUUGUUGAUUCUUGAGAGAGAUUAGAUCACAAUGGUUGCUAAUUAGUUAUCUACAUAUUAUUCACUAUUCCAGGAUUCCCUUCGGCGCUUUCGACUCCAAGUUUUUUAUCCAGGCAAUGAAGUUCCAAAGUGGUUCAGCUAUACUUUUAAACAUCCAAAAUUAGUAGGAGGCAGUGAAUUUAGUUUUGAAAUUCCUCUAAAUUUACAAGUGGGGGAGAAGUUAUUAGGAUUUGCUCUAUCUUUUGUUCUUGAAAAAUCGACUUAUGGUCCUAGGUUUAACUAUAUUCUCAUCAACGGAAUAGAAAAGGUUGAACCUCCUAUAACGGAUGCGAAUUUAGACGAGCAGCAGCGGUGGCGGUUGGAAGAUAUUUGUCAAGAUGCAUUCAGAAUAGAAAGUGUUGAUCGUAAUAUAAUGAGUGCGGAACCCAUAGAGGCAACUCAUGUGUGGCUUGGGUUAGUGAAUUUGGUCGAGCAGAAGCGGCAGUGGCUGGGAGAUACUUGUCAAGUUAUAUUCUAUUUCAGUGAAAGCGUAUGCAUUAAAAGCUGCGGGGUGCACCUCCUAGCCUCACAUAUCGUGGAUGAUGAAUGUGAUGAUCUGUUAAAAUGGUUUUCCUCAGAUAUCGUUGAUGAUGAAUACGAUGAG
RNAcentral lists this long non-coding RNA (22417 nucleotides) under Malus domestica (apple). Its description in RNAcentral is "long non-coding RNA (MDOM_LNC001457)". Lineage: Eukaryota; Viridiplantae; Streptophyta; Magnoliopsida; Rosales; Rosaceae. The record is from RNAcentral.